AAAGAUAUCACCGCCUAAAGCAUAUCCAGAUGUGACAGAAGUCAAUGAGAAGUGUAUUUUCAACAUUCAAGCAAGUUUGUUAAUCAAUAACAGCUAGACUUUUUAUAUAGUGACUUGCUCAGCUCUUCUACAUGGCAACACUACCUCUGAGGACCUUGGGCAUAGAGACUACCCCCACAACAAUCAUAAGAAGAUGGCUGAUUAAAGUUGCCAGUAUAUAUAACCCAAGAU
Molecule: long non-coding RNA, 231 nt
Organism: Xenopus laevis (African clawed frog)
Lineage: Eukaryota; Metazoa; Chordata; Amphibia; Anura; Pipidae
Exons: 3
Source: RefSeq, a predicted model, not a curated record